CUACGGGUCGCAGCAGUGAGGAAUAUUGCACAAUGGGGGGAACCCUGAUGCAGCAACGCCGCGUGGAGGAUGACGCAUCUCGGUGUGUAAACUCCUUUUAUAUGUCAAGAAAAUGACGGUAGCAUAUGAAUAAGCACCGGCUAACUCCGUGCCAGCAGCCGCGGUAAUACGGGAGGGUGCAAGCGUUACUCGGAAUCACUGGGCGUAAAGGACGCGUAGGCGGGUUGGAAAGUCAGGUGUGAAAUCCUACAGCUUAACUGUAGAACUGCACUUGAAACUUCUAAUCUAGAGUAUGGGAGGGGGAGAUGGAAUUAGUGGUGUAGGGGUAAAAUCCGUAGAUAUCACUAGGAAUACCUAAAGCGAAGGCGAUCUCCUGGAACAUUACUGACGCUAAGGCGUGAAAGCGUGGGGAGCAAACAGGAUUAGAUACCCCCGUAGUC
Molecule: ribosomal RNA, 440 nt
Filed under: uncultured bacterium
Lineage: Bacteria
Description: partial 16S ribosomal RNA
Rfam family: Bacterial small subunit ribosomal RNA
Source: RNAcentral